AGAGUGAACGCUGGCGGCAGGCCUAACACAUGCAAGUCGAGCGGCAGCGCGGGGGCAACCCUGGCGGCGAGCGGCGGACGGGUGAGGAAUACAUCGGAAUCUACCUUGUUGUGGGGGAUAACGUAGGGAAACUUACGCUAAUACCGCAUAAGACCUGAGGGUGAAAGCGGGGGACCGCAAGGCCUCGCGCGACAAGAUGAGCCGAUGUCCGAUUAGCUAGUGGUGAGGUAAAGCUCACCAAGGCGACGAUCGGUAGCUGGUCUGAGAGGAUGAUCAGCCACACUGGAACUGAGACACGGUCCAGACUCCUACGGGAGCAGCAGUGGGAAUAUGGACAAUGGGGACAACCCUGAUCCAGCCAUGCCGCGUGUGUAGAAGAGGCCUUCGGGUUAGUAAAGCUACGUUUUUUGUUCGGAAGAAAUACUCAACGAAUUUAAGUACGUACGGUAGGAGUGACGGUACGAAGAAUAAGCACGCUAACUUCG
Molecule: ribosomal RNA, 485 nt
Filed under: uncultured soil bacterium
Lineage: Bacteria
Description: bacterial SSU rRNA
Rfam family: Bacterial small subunit ribosomal RNA
Source: RNAcentral